Schizosaccharomyces pombe (fission yeast) is the source of this 256-nucleotide non-coding RNA. NCBI's taxonomy places the organism in Eukaryota, Fungi, Ascomycota, Schizosaccharomycetes, Schizosaccharomycetales, Schizosaccharomycetaceae. The record is from the annotation of a GenBank genome assembly.
AUACUCACUAUUCUAUUUUAACAAGUGUGAUAACAGUUUUGGAACCAGUGUGAAAACUAAAUAAAGAGGAAAAAAUUUUUUUAAAACCCUUCAAUACAAAUAAUCGACACACAAACGGAAACGAGGAUAAGAAAAUGAGUCAAAGGGGGAAACCAUAUAAAAGUGUAAAGAUGAUACCAAUGACUUCUCUGGGCAGGAAGAAGAAGGAACGAAUGAAAGUAGCAAAUGUCUAACCAAAACAAAAAUUAAACGAGAG